CCUAACACAUGCAAGUCGAGCGAGAAAGCCCUUCGGGGUGAGUAGAGCGGCGGACGGGUGAGUAACGCGUAGGAAUCUACCCAGUAGUGGGGGACAACUAGUGGAAACGCUAGCUAAUACCGCAUACGCCCUACGGGGGAAAGCGGGGGAUCUUCGGACCUCGUGCUAUUGGAUGAGCCUGCGUAAGAUUAGCUUGUUGGUGAGGUAAUGGCUCACCAAGGCGACGAUCUUUAGCUGGUCUGAGAGGAUGAUCAGCCACACCGGGACUGAGACACGGCCCGGACUCCUACGGGAGGCAGCAGUCGGGAAUAUUGCGCAAUGGGGGAAACCCUGACGCAGCCAUGCCGCGUGUGUGAAGAAGGCCCUAGGGUUGUAAAGCACUUUCAAUUGGGAGGAAAAGCUAAUGGUUAAUAACCAUUAGCCCUGACGUUACCUUUAGAAGAAGCACCGGCUAACUCCGUGCCAGCAGCCGCGGUAAUACGGAGGGUGCAAGCGUUAAUCGGAAUUACUGGGCGUAAAGCGCGCGUAGGCGGUUUUUUAAGUCGGAUGUGAAAGCCCCGGGCUCAACCUGGGAACUGCAUCCGAUACUGGAUCACUAGAAUGCGGGAGAGGGAGGUAGAAUUCCAUGUGUAGCAGUGAAAUGCGUAGAUAUAUGGAGGAAUACCAGUGGCGAAGGCGG
This 679-nucleotide ribosomal RNA is filed under the name uncultured marine bacterium. Its description in RNAcentral is "bacterial SSU rRNA". It matches the Rfam family "Bacterial small subunit ribosomal RNA", at positions 47 to 724 of the family's 1533-position model. The record is from RNAcentral.